AAAUUCAGAUUUUUUUCAACAAGAGAAAAAAACUUUGUGAGAUAUUGAAAAAACGUUGAAAUUUACGAUGCAUCACCACAAUUUCAAGAUUAAAAAGGAACACGUAAAAAGAGAAAAAGAAAAAUACUGUGGAUAGCAAAGUACAUAUGUAUCGAUUCACGGCAUACAUGAAGGGAGAUAAACAAAGCACCCUUUUAUCAUUAGUCCUAAAAACUUUAUUUCUGUCAUUAAUGGUUAAAAUGGUGUGUGUAUAUAAGAAUACAAUCUGAAAGAAGAAGGUAAGAAAACUCUUAUUCCCGGAAGUUCAAUAAAAAAGGAACUAUGUUCAGUCUAUCCGUAGAUCAUAAAAACAAACCAAACUCCACAUAAGGACAUUAGAGCUUAGAGAAAACAAAAAGCUAUUGAAACAUUAGUAAACA
Schizosaccharomyces pombe (fission yeast) is the source of this 419-nucleotide non-coding RNA. NCBI's taxonomy places the organism in Eukaryota, Fungi, Ascomycota, Schizosaccharomycetes, Schizosaccharomycetales, Schizosaccharomycetaceae. The record is from the annotation of a GenBank genome assembly.